RNAcentral lists this long non-coding RNA (9679 nucleotides) under Homo sapiens (human). RNAcentral describes it as "HSALNT0210441". The record is from RNAcentral. Lineage: Eukaryota; Metazoa; Chordata; Mammalia; Primates; Hominidae.
UAAAGUCUUUAUUCUAUACAUUCUGAUGUACAAAUUUUAAUGAUUUCUUGAAUUUUUUUCUAUAUAUAUACAUUUUUAUUAGUUUGGUUUCCUACAUAUUUAGUUUAAUUCAACAAAUAUUGGCAUAUUGGUAUAUGCCAAUCUUUGAAAUUGCAUGACUGGGAACAUAAAACUAACAAGGAAUAAUACCUGCUCUUAAGGAGCUUACAGUCUCCAUUAAGGAAGUAAGACAAGGACCUAAUAGUUAUGAUAUAAAGCAAAAUAUCCAUAAAAGGGGUGCCAAAAGGUGUUAUGGAGUCCAAGAAGUUAAUCAGAAUAAAAAGUAGCACUUGACACGAAUGUUCAAGAAUGAGUAGGACUCCUACCUCAAGAUUAUAAGCUAGAAGUCACUUAAGUCAAGUGGAAUAGUAAGGUAAAGCUUAAAGAAUUUAGAAAGUGUGAAUACGUUCUAGGGAGAGUAUGCUUUUCAGUAAAAUUGCAAUGCAUAGUAAUCUGGCAAGAUAUAUUAUAAACAUUUUAAAAAAUAUUUGGGUACACACUUAGGAUUUUGUACCUUUGUCAGCAUACAAUAGGUAGAUACUAAGGAUCCCUGAGCAGGGGACCAAAAUAUUUGAGGCUCCACAUUCUUGUAAAGGAGUACAGUUAUCUUUAGGAAGACAAAUUUGACAUGGUUAUGAUGAUGAAUCUCGGGUACAAGGGUAAUGACAUGAGUUAGUAUGUAUUACAAUGUCAAGACAGGUUCUGUCUGAAUUUCUUUGAAAGCAGAAUGAAAUCUUAAAAGGCUUAGAGAUGACAGAAUAAGGAAGCAAUACUGAUUAAGUUUUGGAUACAACACAUGGAGGCAAAGAUGAUUCUAUGGGUUUUGAAUAUAUUUGAACAUAGUUGACCAGAAAAAUGGGAGCAUAAUGGUGACCAAAUUAACCAAGAUAGAGAAUUCAGAAGAAUAUCAUAAUUCAGGAGAAAAAAUGUUUUUUAGUGAUGAAGUGGAAACUGAUUUCUGAUUUGGACUGUAGAGUGUAUGAUUCAUCAUACAUUUUGAAUCUAUAUGACAAAUAUAGUCUGGGAGAUUGAAGUCAGUUUGAUAUCAUCCAUUGAGAUGUAGUUCUUAUAAUGGGUGGGAUGAACAUAGACCUAUGGAAAACAACUACAGUUAAAGAUAAAAGAAGAAAUAGGUGGUAUGUGAAGCAAUAGAUAGAUAGUAUUCAAAACAAUUAGGAAAAACCAGCAAACACAGUAACACCAACACAUUUUAAUUUCAAAAUUAAAAAGUGUGAUGAACAAUACAAAAUGGCUGAAGAGAAUGAAUCUUCGGGGAAAUCUUUUGACUUGGCUUCUAAGGGAUCAAUAGAGGGGAAAUAUAGUCAUUCAUUGUCAUUUAGCAAAUAUUUGAGACCCUCCUAUGAAUUUUUUUUAAAGGUAACCAAAACAAGCAUAUUUCCCCUGGCUUCCUAGAGCUUACAGUGUAAUAGGCUGGUAAUUAACUGACAAUAAUAAAACACACAAAUAUUCAAUUAAACUUUUGAGGAAUGUUCUAAGGAAAAGGGUAAAUAUAAUAGAGAAAACCUAUUUGGCCUAAAUGAUAAAGAAAGGAUUUUCAGAGGAGUGUAUGUAUAAGCUAAGAUCAGGAAUGAACUGGACAAAGGAAGAGGGGCUUAGAGCAUUAAGAGACAAAACAAAAGCAGACACAACCCUGAGUAUGGAGAUGGCACUGGGGAAAUGAAAAAAAAAAAGUUCUGAAGCAAUGUGAGUGAAGGUGGUAGGAUAAUCAUUCAUUUCUUUAUUUAAAUCUGAUGAUAGAUUAUGAAAUAUGAUAUGUCUUGGGGAGUACCAGUGCCCAUCAAACAGGAGCUGUAAGGCUGGAUUGGUGAGAAGAAACCAGGUCAUGCAGGCUUUAUGUCCUACUUUAAGGAAUUCUGUCUUUAUUUGGUGAGCAACUGGGAGAUUUUAAAAGGCUGCAAGAAGGAGAAUGUGUAUAGUACUUGCAUUUUAAGACAAUCACAUAAGCUAUAACAUAGAGAAUGACUAGAGACAGCAGGAUUGGAUGUAAAGGUCUACAAGAAGAAGUUAUUGCAGUAUCCUAGCAAGAGUACAUGGUAACCUAGUCUGGGGUAGGGACAUUAGACAUGACAAGAUAGAUUUGAAAUAUAUUCAGGAGGCAAAACAAAUAGGUGUGGUGAUUGAUUGAAUAGAGGGAGUGAAGAAUGUGGAGGUAUCAAGGUUGAUUCCCAGUUUUCUGGCUUAAAUUUUAGUGACUGUUGCUGCCAUUCCAUACAAGAGGAAUACUAGAGAAGCAUAGGGUAUUAAUACACGAGUGAAAAACAAAGUUUUAACAUUUUUAUUCAAUAAAGGUAAUGAAAACCAUCAAUUUAGCUGCAUAAUCUUAGUCCCAUUUCUGACUGAUAAUAAGCAUUGGUCUGAUGUUUGGUUGAGAGUAGCAGGUUUGUCCAUGGAGUUCGUCUCUCCAUGUACAGCUAAUUAGUAUGGGGUUUGAGUCUACAGCACUGGCCUCAUUACCACAUGCCCAAAUCAACAGGGCUAGCCAGGCCAGACAGAUGAAAAGAAAUGCAUUCACUGUGACGGCGAUUACUUUCAUAUGCAGUGCACUAUUUUCCAGAACAAAUAAAUACAGUUGAGAGACUAUAACUAAGAUCAACAAAUAAUUAGUGUACUGGAAAGAAGGGAUAAAAGUGGGAAAAGUCUUAAAGCACAUGUCCAUUAUAUUCCAACACAGAAAUUCUGCAUGUUUCUUCUGGCAUUUAAACUCAUCAUUGUUACCAAUCAUUAAUACAUAUAUUAUAGUUUUCAUGAACUCACAAUCAAGAUUUUUUCUUUUCUUCCAACUAAUAUUCCCAGCCUAAACUUUGAAUUAAGUAUCUUCACCAAGUAGAGCAUAUUUUGACUCUUCAACCUACUUGAUUUCCUCUGCCAAUGUGCGCCAUUAAGUAAUAUUUGCCUUUGAUAAUUAUCCUGUUUUCAGUAUCCCAGCACAUCCCUAGGACUUCACUAGGCAGACGUGGUUCUCCUUACUGUAUUAUACUUCCCUUGUAGAAUGCCUAAAGCUUUAUUUUCUAGGCCAAAUCUAGAAAGGAUCCACUUUUGAAAAAUAAAACCCCCAAAGAAAACUUUUCCUUGCACUAAACCAUUUUCUUCCUUUUCUCUCAUCAGGUGUUUUCCUUCUUUUUUUUAAGACAACAACAUUAACAUAUGCUCAAUGUAAAAAAAAAAAAGUACCCAGAAAGAAAAUAGAAAAUGAAUAAAAAAGGAAACUGCUUCAUUAUAUCUACCAGGCAGUAAGAAUCCUAGCAAUUUAGGGUAUACAUGUUUUUAUAAAUAUAUCAGAUGACAUUUAACUUUAUGUAUUUUUUUAGCCUAACAACAUAUAGUGUACAUAUUUAUAUGUUAAUACAUAUAUCCUAUGUUGAGUUUGAGCCCAUUUUCUUAAACAGAUUCUUGCUUCUCUCUUCCACAAAUAAAUCAUUUUUCAGUUCUUUCAUAAGUAGUGUUUGAGACAAGGGUUUCAAUGCAGUGUUUUAUCUGGAUGGUGAUGCCAGUAAAUUCUGAGAUGUGAGGAAAUGAGAAAGGGAAGUUAAGACAACCAAUAAAGGAUUGCUCUUGAUCCAGGGACCAUGGUGAGUAAUAAACUCGGUCUCACUGGAGAACUCUGGGUGUCUAUAAAACAGGCUCCUCAGAGCUAUUCUCCCUCAGGGAUGGAAAGCUGAGGAGUUGAUCCAAGGCUGCUGGUGCAGGGUGGGGAAACAGGAGAGUGGUUGUGGUGGUGUUAAAUGUCUGACACUUUUGAAUGACAAUCAUGGAUAGGUCCUAGUUCCUGAAAAAAUCUCACAUGCAAUCAGCUGUCCUCAGGAUGCACUGUGCUAUUAAAGCUGGAGUAGAUAUAAGAGCACAAAUGCUUUAUGUCAUGCUCCCUUUCUGAUGGGCAAUUAGAUCGUUUCCAUUUCUUUCAACAUUAUGAACUACCACAAUAUCCUUAUAUAUAAUUAUUUGUAUGACUGAUUUUUUACAUGAUAUAAUUCCUAUUAGUGAUAUUAAAGGGUAAUACAAAAAAUUCAAGGUUGUAAUCUGUGGGUAUGUUUUGGGAUAAAGAGAGGCAACUUUCUUCUUCUUAAAUGAAUGUUUCUAUGGAAUGUCAGAUAAUAUAUAAUUAACUUUAAAUGUUACCUUCUAAAUUUAGAUUUAAUACUUAAAAUAUCUAACUUUUAGCCACAUUUAUUUGAUAAUUUUACAUAUUUCAUCAUUGCUAUGAAAAAAGCCAGUACUUUGAGUUAAAAUAAAUGUACCUAACAUAAUACAAGUCUAAAAAUUUGUUUUAUUUUCUAUUUUAAGGGCAACGUUGAUUUGAAAAUUACAAUGGCAAGAAAAUAUUUAGUAGUUAAGCCUAGACAAAGCAUCCUUAGACUUUACAUCAAAAAAGCACAAUCCAUAAAGGAAAAAUAAAUAAAUUGGACCUUAUCAAAACUAAAAACUUUUUCUCUGCAAAAUACCAUGUGAAAAGGAUGAUAAGACAAGGUGCAGGCAGGGAGAAAAUAUUUGAACACCACACAUCUGGCAAAUGACUUUGAUGUUGAAUAUAAAAAGAGCUCUCAAAACUAAACCAUUUAAAAAUGCAAUUAUAAAACAAGCAAAGGACAUGAUUAGACAUUUCACAGAAGAGGAGAUUCAGAUGGCAAAUGAAAAGAUGUUCCACUUUAUUAGCUUUUAGGAAAAUGCAAACUAAAACCGCAAUGAGAUAUCACUAUACACCUAUCAGAAUAGUUAAAACAAAAACAAAACAGUGACAAUAACAUAUGUUGGUGAGAAUGUACAGAAAUUUGAUCACUCAUACAUUGUUGGCAGAAAUGCAAAAUGAUAUACUCACUCUGGAAAGCAAUUUGGCAGUUUCUUAUACAACUAAACAUGCAACUACUAUGUUGCAUGCCAUUAUACUCCUGGACAUUUAUCUCAGAGUAAUGGAAAUCUAAGUUCACAGGAAAAUGUGUACAUGAAUGUUUGUAGCAGCUUUAUUUAUAAUAGCCCUGCACUGGAAACAAUCCAGAUGUCCUUCAAUGGAUAAAUGGUUACACAAAAGGUAGUACGUGCAUACUACACAAUAUUACUCAGCAAUAAAAAGGCACAAUCUAUUGAUACAUACCACAACUUGGAUAAAUCUCCAAGAAAUUAGGCUGAAAAAAGCAACUCCCCAAUAUUUAUGUAGCGUAUAAUACCAUUUAUGUAACAUUCUUGAAUUGACAAAACUGUAGAAAUGGAGAACAGAUUAAUUGUUGCCAGUGGUGUAGAAUUAGCUGGCCAAAGGGAGAUGUAUUGUCAAAAGGCAACACUAGAGCGAUCCUUGUGGUGAUUGAACUGUUGUGUAUUGACUGUGGUGAUGGAUACAUGAACCUAUAGAUGUGUUUAAAAUACACAGAAUUAAAUACACACUUACACGCAAGCACAAAUAAAACUGGGGAACAAGAUUAGUGGAUUGUAUCAAUGUCGAUGUGUUUGUGAUAUUGUACUACAGUCUUAAAAGUUAUCAUUGGGGGAAAACAGGUAAAGUGUAUAUGAAACCUUUGUGUUAUCUCUUACAACUGCAUGUAAAUCUAUGUCAAAAUAAAAGGUUAAAUUUUUACAAAUUAGCAACAUUUCUGUCUAGAAUAUAUGUACAUAUAUAAAUAUUAAUGAUUAACUUUUGAAGAAUGCCAAACUUGUGCUUAUUCACUAAAAAAUGUCUAAUUUUUCUAAUUGUUUACAUUCUAAAAUAAGCAUGAUUAUUCAAAAGUCAUUUAUAUUAGAAAGUAAUACCAGAGAACUUACUUCAUUUGAGGGCUAAUACAAUUUAUGUCAGUUACAUAACAAUAUUAAAAUAUUUGCAUCAUUAAAAUAUUGUGGAAAAUUCUUCCUUGUCUAUCCUCAAGAUAAAACAAGGUUAAAAAAAGGGUUUUUCAUGAAAAAAAUUUAAAAUUAUUUAGAAGACAGAUUACUGCAUUAAGCCAUUAUUUUGAAAAAAAAAUCUAAAAUGGUUUCUUUGCUAAAUAUUAUACCUGAUAUGCCUUACCUCAUUUAAUCAUCAUGGCAUCAUGAGAUGGGUAUUAUUAUUGCUGCGCCUUUUUUUUACAGGUGAGUAAGCACUUACGUAGCACUUCUUAUUUACCAGUAAUAUUCUAAGUGUUUUACAUAUAUUAGCUCAUAAAUUAGGCAAUAUACUACCUCCUUUUACACAUGAAGGAAUGGAGGGAAAUUGUAUAGGAAGAAUCCAGGCAGUCUGGCUCCAGACUGCUCUAUGGUGUGUCCAAGGGACACUAAGGAACAGAGAACUUAAACCAUCUACAUAAGGUCACACAGCUACUAAUGGUAAAAUCACGAUUUGAACGUACAUUCUUUCCACUACACCAAUGUUUACCAAAUUCUGAUUUUUUGAUCAUAUACACCAGAAUUAUUUAAGCAGCUUGUUUAAAACCUAGGCCCUCUCCCUUCCACCAUCUCUAUUGACCGUAAACCUCUGGUGCCAAAACCUUGGAAUCUCAAUUGUCAAUAACCAUCCUAGGAGGUUUUGAUUAACAUUAAAUUCCCAAUCUGGCUGCAUUCUAAUACACAAAGCAGGUUUCCUAUGAGAUUCAAAUGAAAUAUCUGGAAUAAUUAUAAAUGAUGCCAUAUUUUAUCAAUUUUAAUGUUAUUUAUUUAUUUAUUUAUUUAUUUAUUUAUUUAUUUUGAGAAGGAGUUUUUGCUCUGUUGCCCAGGCUGGAGUGCAAUGGUACAAUCUCAGCUUACUGCAGCCUCCACCUCCUGGGUUCAAGCGAUUCUCCUUCCUCAGCCUCCUGAGUAGCUGGGACUACAGGCGCCCGCCACCACAUCAAGCCAAUUUUCAUAUUUUUAGUAGAGAUGGGGUUUCACCAUGUUGGCCAGGCUGGUCUCGAACUCCUGACCUCAGGUGAUCCACCCAUCUCGACCUCCUAAAGAGCUAGGAUUACACAAGAGCUAGGAUUACAGGCGUGAGCCACCAUGCCUGGCCAGUUAAUGUUUAAUUUUUAAGAACACUUUAACAUCUCUGAAAUAGGACUGACUGUUAAAACUGGUGGUUCUUGUAAUCACAAUAAAAACAGGUUUUUUUUUCUUCUUCAUGCUACGUAAAAUAAUGUUGCUUUAGAUUUGUUAAUGUAUGCAGGUUCACUGGGUAUUAAAAUACAAGGGACAUUGCUUAUUAAGCACUAUAUAUAUAUAUAUAUAUAUAUAUUUUUUUUUUUUUUUGCUCCUGGGUCACAUGUGAAAGGGUGCCCUUCUACAUGCCGUAAGAGUCAGGGUUCUGGAAAAAAAAUCGUAAGUCUUCCAUCAUAUGUAGAAUCACAUAUACUACGUGUAAGUCACUAACCCAUGAACAGAUAAAAUAAUGAGUUUGAGAACACUUUGAAAAUGAUAAAUCAUUAUGUAAAUGCUGUGUGUGUAUGAAUGUAAGCAUAAGCAUGGGCUUGAAGUAAUAUUAUUAGAGAAAGUAGAAAUAACUUGAUGCUCAUUUCCAAACUUGGCACAUGUGCAUUGUAACAGACAUCAUGAUUUUCAACAUUCUUCUUUUUCUUUCUCUAAUAAUAGGAAGCAUAUCAGUAAAGAGUGCUCUUUAAUGCUUGCUAUACUCUAGGAAAUUAUUUAAGUGCUUUUCACAGAUUAUCUCAUUUGAGCCUCCCAUGAAUCCUGUAAAAUACCAUAUUAUUACUGUAGCUAUUAUGCCUAUUUUACAGGAGAAAAAAACUGAGUUGUAGGAACAUUAAAUAAGUUGAUUAAAAUUACUUAAUGAGAAAGUGCUAGAGUAAAAGUGUGAGCAGAAGCACUCUGAGACAGGAAUUUGCUUGUUGAAAUAUGUCUUAAAGUAAAAUUUACUGUAAACUAACCUACAUUAUGUGACUUCACAUAACACAGGAAGGAGAAAGUGGACAGAGAAGCCAAGAUGUAAAUAGUCACUGAAAAGGAAAGAGGAGAAAGCAAGAAGAACAUGAGGUAAAAUAUUUGCAAAUGUGUUUAUUGCAACUCCUUUUCAAACUUACUUUAUUUGAACACUUUAUUUUCACUUUCUAGAUUUUAUGUCUCUACCAAAUGAAUUUGAUUACAAAAUUUUCCUUUUGUCUCUCUUGUACUGAUGUGAGCACUCAUUUAACUAAUUUCAUUUUAACUACAUUAUCCAUAUCUAUUCAUAUUGUCCCCAUCUAUGUGACUUCAUUGUCUAUGAUUCUGUUCUAUAAACUCUGCAAUUCUGUUCUUUGAUCCACUGCAUGUAUCUGACAGUUGGACAUUCUUCUCAUUCUAUCUACGUUUUCUGUAUUGGGCAUGCAAGCUGAACCUAUUCUCAGGAAAAUUAUGAAAUGAAUGUAGUCUUUCAAGUCCUAUACAUCUUCUUUUAGCAUGCUUCUGCUUCUUUUUCCUAGUGCUUUCUGGAGAUCUCUUCUAUGAAAUUACAUUGAUUUUAUUAGUGAAAGAUGAAGUUGGUGCUCAUUUCUAGGCUAACUGAAAAAUGCAAUAACUCCUCAUUGACAUCAACUACCCAGUUGCAAGAAGAGUGUACCUUCUGCUUUGGUGAGACACAGAUGACACAAUUAGUAAACAGUAGUCAUCAACCAAGAAGCAAAUUAAUUUGGGGUAAAGAUUUUCCAGUUUAAAUGUCUGUUGAUUGGCCCUCAUCUUUGAAAGGCACAUUAAAAAAAAAGUUUUGUGGUAAAUAAUACGCAUUCACAAGAAUACUUGGAAAUCAGUCUAUAAAAAUCAGAUUAUUCCAUCACCAUCUUUCAAAUCACUAAUCAGAGCAAAGAAAAAUCGAUCAUGUAAAACACCACAGCCAGGUUCAUACAGUCUUAAUUACAUAACUAAAUGAAUUAAUUGUUCUUCAAGUUACACAUUUUAUUGACAUAUAUGUUUAUUAUAAAGUUUUUAAAAUAAAAAUGCAUGUUUGGUGAAGUUAAUACAAUUGUAAUUUGUAUUUCAUCAUAUUUUAAAAUACAAAAGAAUUGAAUUGCUUUUACUCUAUUACAUGAUGUAACUGACUAGCUGGGUUGUAAUUCUCAAUAUUAUAAUUAUCAUAAUUCAUUGCCAUGCCGAAGUCAAUUCUGUGAUAUGUGUGAAAUAAAAUACCUUUAGUUUAGCCUAUUGCAUGACAUUGUGGUGUACCAUGCAUCUUUCAAAUCUCUUAAAGAAAAGUUAAUGGCAGGCCAAACUUGUGACAAAGUACUGUGAAUAACACGGAAGGAGGAAACAUUUUAAACGGGGAUAUAUAGCAUAUUGUGAUUUGUGGUGGAAUUAAAAAACACGUAGCAGGAAAAAGAAAAAAAAAGAGUGUACCUAGGUAUGUAUAUAAUGUACUUAAGAGAGGACUCAGAUUUUUAAAAUGGACAAAAUAAAAAUUGCAUUAUUUUUAAAUACUGCAUAGUCAAUGAGCAUUUGAUGUAAAUCUUACAAAUAUGGUUGGGUGUUUUCUUCUCAGUUUAGGGCUUGUUGAAAAGUAGUACUAUUAGGCAUAGUUUGGCACUUCUGGCAAUGUUAGUGACUUUAGUGAAUUUCAUUAUAUCUAUGAUGCAUUUUAUAUAUCACUACAAAGAAAUGCUGCCAAUUGCAAUUAAAAUAGGCCCAAUUGCAGAGAUGUUAACAUGUAGAGAGACAAGCAUUCUUGAACUCAUGAAAUAGAAUAAUACUCCAAAUUAAUUGGGAU